This is a long non-coding RNA of Homo sapiens (human), 917 nucleotides long. RefSeq lists it as uncharacterized. The record is from RefSeq and is a predicted model, not a curated record. Lineage: Eukaryota; Metazoa; Chordata; Mammalia; Primates; Hominidae. The transcript is spliced from 3 exons.
GCAGUUGCCGUGGCAGCUUAGCCGUGAGUGGGUCAGGUGGCCAAAGCAGAGGCCGACCCCCGCCAGCCGUUGCUGUCAGGCCCCCUCUCGCUCUCUGGUUCAGGAGAACGUCUCUAGAAGAGCGUCAGUUUGGGGCUGGAUAUUGUAAAUCUUGAUCCAAGGAACAGUCUCCAGAUGGAGAAUGGAUAGAAUUUCUCCCCCUUCUCUUGCACUAGGAGUAAGUGAGCGUCACUAGAAGCAUCCAGAUAUGAAGGCUUCAAAUCCUACCUAAACUGCAGACCAAUCUCUGAAAGCAACUUUGUUCAAUUGCAGCCUGACUAGAGGGAGGUAUCAGAACCACAACAAAUGGAAUGAAACCUACCACUACCACCUGCCUGGCACAAAGAAAUAAUUUACAAUUCACGGGGAAUUUCCUGUGUUUCAUUUUGUCUGAAGAACUGUAACUGGACUUGAAUGAACUAAGUGUCUAAUUGUUGCAUUAUUUUUCUUGUAGAGAUUUUAGUGUUUUAUUACUUUCUCCAGUUUACUUCAAUAGUGAAUUAGGUUCCCUCUACCAUCUGAAAUGUUACAGUUCGAUAAAAUAGGUAAAUUAAUAAAGUCUAAAGUGCUUCCAAGCUGAGCAGAGACCUUUCUGUGCGCUGUGCUUUUAUUGCUCUUCCCAGCUGAUAUUUAUAACUGGGCCAUAUGUGGUUAUAAAGAUUUAUUAUGAGCCUGUGGAAUAAGUUCUGUUAAUGUGUACAGUAAAUGUCCAAGUUUUGACUCUGUAAGCCUUGGAGAUUUCUAAUAAGAUGAAGCCAUUUUGAUCAUGAGCCAAGCAGUGUGCACUUGGAGCCAGGCCUCGUAUUGACAAAGGGCUUAGCUAUGUGCUGUAGACUCUACCCACUCUCUGUGUGGGUUUGCUAAAAAUGUUUGCAAAG